AAUAUACUCCUUCCGUCCGGAAUUACUUGUCGCAGACAUGGAUGUAUCUAGACAUAUUUUUAGUUCUAGAUACAUCCAUUUCUAUCCAUUUUUGCAACAAGUAAUUCGGGAUGGAGGGAGUAUAUC
Non-coding RNA from Triticum urartu, 126 nucleotides. NCBI's taxonomy places the organism in Eukaryota, Viridiplantae, Streptophyta, Magnoliopsida, Poales, Poaceae. The record is from Rfam.